CACAAACUCCAGUCACCGAGGAAGGGGAGGCCUCUGCAGAGGAAUUGUCUCUGCCUGUAGGCACAUCCACGGGGACAUUUUCAAGAUUGCUGGAGGGCUAUGCCAAUGGAGGUACAUCUAACAAUCUUCCACUGUUGAGGGAUCCAGAGGAGCUUCUUGAGAAAUGCCAGCCACCUGCUGAGCUGCAAAGGACUUACAAACACAGAGAAUUUAACAUAAUUCAAGGAGGAAGGGAAUACAGGAAGCUCUCAUCUUAGUGCCCUCUGUCCUUCCAGCCCUUUCCUCCUUAAUCCUGCCUAAAACUUGGGAAGCACAGAGUUGCUGACUGCAUUGUCUGGAGAAUUUCUGAAGACCACAUUGCCAACCAAGUGGGAUGAAUACUGGCCCUGGAGUUACUUUCCUUAACUGUAAAAUGAUCCUUUGUUUGGCAUGCUGGGAAAGCAUUCUGACUUUGAAGCCUGUGUGUCUUUAUCAACGUAUUGCUGUUCUCCAUUCAGAGCUAAGUUCUGAGUUAUUCUGUGCCUUGAGGUUGCUGGGGCAGAACCAGAGCACAAUGGAGGCUGAAGUUUCUCUCUGGCUCAGGCCACAGAAGAGCCAGCCACAUCAUUUGCCCUCAUGGUUCCUCAUCCUUAGAUGCUGCUUCAUUCCUUUUGGGAGCUUGGGGUUUAUCACGACUGGCUCUAGGAAUGUCCCUGAAAUUCUUUUUGUUGCUACAUCUGUGAGUGC
RNAcentral lists this long non-coding RNA (726 nucleotides) under Cricetulus griseus (Chinese hamster). Its description in RNAcentral is "lncRNA (ENSCGRG00015036965.1)". The record is from RNAcentral. Lineage: Eukaryota; Metazoa; Chordata; Mammalia; Rodentia; Cricetidae.